Molecule: ribosomal RNA, 404 nt
Filed under: Actinomycetes bacterium
Lineage: Bacteria; Bacillati; Actinomycetota; Actinomycetes
Description: Actinobacteria bacterium partial 16S ribosomal RNA
Rfam family: Bacterial small subunit ribosomal RNA
Source: RNAcentral
UGGGGAAUAUUGGACAAUGGGCGCAAGCCUGAUCCAGCCAUGCCGCGUGAGUGAUGAAGGCCCUAGGGUUGUAAAGCUCUUUCACCGGUGAAGAUAAUGACGGUAACCGGAGAAGAAGCCCCGGCUAACUUCGUGCCAGCAGCCGCGGUAAUACGAAGGGGGCUAGCGUUGUUCGGAUUUACUGGGCGUAAGGCGCACGUAGGCGGACUAUUAAGUCAGGGGUGAAAUCCCGGGGCUCAACCCCGGAACUGCCUUUGAUACUGGUAGUCUUGAGUUCGAGAGAGGGGAGUGGAAUUCCGGGUGUAGAGGUGAAAUUCGUAGAUAAUCGGAGGAACACAAGUGGCGAAGGCGGCUCACUGGCGCGAUACUGACGCUAAGGUGCGAAAGAGCGGGGAGCAAGCAGG